This 70-nucleotide transfer RNA is filed under the name Marmota monax (woodchuck). RNAcentral's name for it is "tRNA.Cys". The record is from RNAcentral. Lineage: Eukaryota; Metazoa; Chordata; Mammalia; Rodentia; Sciuridae.
GGGGUUGUGGCUCAGCGGUAGAGCACUCCUAGCACAUGGUGAGGCCCUGGGUUUGAUCCUCAGCACCACA